GAUGAACGCUGGCGGCGUGCCUAAUACAUGCAAGUCGAACGAAAGGACGAGAAGCUUGCGUGUCGGAUGUUAGCGGCGGACGGGUGAGUAACACGUGUAUAACCUACCUAUCAGACUGGGAUAAUUUCGGGAAACCGGAGCUAAUACCGGAUGAUAUUUUGAACCGCAUGGGUCAAUAGUGAGAUACGGUCUUUGUGGAAGUUAUAGAUGGAUCCGGGCUGCAUUAGCUGGUUGGUAAGGUAACGGCUUACCAAGGCGACGAGGCAUAGCCGACGUGAGAGGGUGGUCGGCCACACUGGAAGUGAGGCAGCGUCAAGACGCCUGCGGGAGGCAGCAGUAGGGAAUGUUACGCAAUGGGCGAGAGCCUGACAGAGCAACGGCGCGUGAGUGAUGAAGGUCUUCGGAUCGGGAAGAUCUGUUAUUAGGGGAGAACAUAUGUGUAAGUAACCGUGCAGAUAGUGACGGUACCUGGUCAAGAAGCCACGGCUAACUACGUG
Molecule: ribosomal RNA, 497 nt
Filed under: uncultured bacterium
Lineage: Bacteria
Description: partial 16S ribosomal RNA
Rfam family: Bacterial small subunit ribosomal RNA
Source: RNAcentral